This 2235-nucleotide ribosomal RNA is filed under the name Triticum aestivum (bread wheat). Its description in RNAcentral is "partial small subunit ribosomal RNA". The record is from RNAcentral. Lineage: Eukaryota; Viridiplantae; Streptophyta; Magnoliopsida; Poales; Poaceae.
AUGUUGAUUCACCAUGCAAGUACGCUGCCGACAAGGCAAUUCUCCUACGAUCAGUUAAAGGAAAUUACGGAUGGUUUCUCCGAGGAGCACUUACUCGGUAGCGGCGGAUAUGGAAGAGUUUACAAGGGAUUUCUCAAAGAUGGGGAAGAAAUUGCCGUGAAGUUGCUCUAUGAGAUGCCUACACUUGAUGAUGUGCAGUUUAUGAGGGAGUUUAACAAUCUGACGAGUCUUCAACACGUUAAUAUUGUGCGGUUAGUCGGCUAUUGCCAUGAAACUCGGCCAGAGUGCGCAGAGUACGAAGGAAGAACGGUUGUUGCUGACAGGAUACACAGGGCGCUCUGUUUCGACUAUGCCCACAAUGGGAGCCUUCACGAUCAUAUUUCUGAUGAAUUUAAUGGACAUGAUUGGCGCACACGUUAUGGAAUAAUUAAGGGGAUUUGCAAUGGUUUGAAAUACCUGCAUCAGGACCUAAAUUCUCCUAUAUAUCAUCUGGAUCUAAAACCAGCCAAUGUAUUGCUGGAUAAGAAUAUGUUACCAAAGAUAGCUGAUUUUGGCCUGUCAAGGCUGUUUGGAGAAGAACAAACAAAAAUCACAAAUACUUCAUUCGGAACGCGCGGUUAUUUACCACCAGAAUACAUAGAGCAGAAAGUAAUCUCAAACAAGUUCGACAUAUACAGCUUGGGUGUUGUUAUCAUAAAGGUAAUGGCUGGACCUGAGGGCCAAUCCAAAUGUGCUACCAUGUCUUCCAAGGAAUUCGUUGAACUUGUACAGGGAAAUUGGAGGGCUAGGUUAGAAGCACCCCCAAUCCAUGAGCCAGGGCUAGAGGCAUAUUGUGUACAAGUAAAGACGUGCAUUGAAAUAGCCUUAAAGUGUGUGCAGGCAGAUCGGCGCAAAAGGCCGAGUAUAAAUGAUAUCAUUGAUAAGAUGAAUCAGACAGAGAAUAUGAUUCGAUUAUGGUCCCUCAACGUAUAUUUAAAGAGGCCAUAUUUUGCUCCUGAUAUAUCCGGCCUUACGAGAUUCGAGUACAAUGAUUUGGCCGUCAUGACAGACGGAUUCUCCAAACAUCUUGGAUUGGGUGCCUUUGGCAUGGUAUAUAAAGGGAGCUACAAAGACUUGAAUGGCUAUCAAGAAGUGGCUGUGAAGGAAAUAAAGAAUACUACUGAAGGAGAAGUUCAUGACUUUAUCGCUGAACUCCAGAGAAUUGGUCGAAUGAGGCUACACACAAAUCUAAUUGAGCUGAAAGGCUGGUGCUGCAGAAGAAACGCAUGGAACUUGGUUGAUUUUAUUUCUUGUUGUAGGCAACAAAGGGUUCAAUUCUUUCUUGUCUUUGAAUUUGUUCCUAAUGCCAACCUAGAGGAUCACCUACACGACAGGAAGAAAAUUCUACCAUGGCAAAAGAGGUACCAAAUAAUUAAGGGCAUAGGGUCUGCACUUCAUCAUCUUCACCACGAAUGCAAUAGAACCAUCUUGCAUGGAGAUAUCAAGCCAAGCAGUGUACUACUGGAUUUUGAUUUCAACGCCAAGCUCGGUGUCGGGCUAUCUAGGACAGCCAGUAAAAACAAUAGAAUACUAGUGGCGACUGAUACUGGGACAGAGGGGAACAUGGACCCACGUAAGUCCGACAUCUACAACUUUGGAUUCGUUCUACUAGAGAUAGCAUGCACAGGCAAGUCUAGACAGCAAGUAUGGAAGCUAUAUAGAGAGGAACCCGAGGUGAUGGAGUAUGCCGCUGACCACAGAUUAGGUGGCAUCUUCGACAAGUCGCAGAUGAAGCGUGUGAUUGUCCUGGGCCUCAGGUGCUCUCACCCAGAUGGGAGACACCGUCCUUUCAUGACAGAUGCAAUGAAAUUCUUGGAGGAUGGCAUAGAGUUGCCUCCUAUAUUGGAAAUAGAGGAACAACAAGGUUCAACAUUCUUGGGCAUUCAUUCGGCUGAGUUUUCUCAUAUAACCAUCGACAUCUUGCCCCUAGGGGACGGCAUAGAGUUGCCUCCUAUAUUGGAAAUAGAGGAACAACAAGGUUCAAGAUUCCUGGGCAUUGAGUCCGUUAAUUUUUCUAAUAUAAACACCGCCAUGUAUCUCGAAGGAGAGAAUUUUUCGAUAAGAGGAAGCAUCAGCUGGCUUAAAGUUGUAAGAGGAGGAGCCCGCUUGUGGUGGAGGUUGUAUUGUUGUGUAACUAGAAGGCUGGGGAUUUGGGAGCGAUAUACUGUUGUAGACAGCUAUCUCCCAGCUGUGUAA